CCGGGGUCGCCGGGUUGGCGACUUUGGCACUCUUGGCGUUGGGUGGGCGGUAUCUUGGGGGGGUCACGUGAGACAGUGGCAUCAUGCCCGAGGGCGCUGGAGUCAGCGUCGCGGCUUUUCCGGACGUUCGUCGGCCAGGAGGAAGGGCAGAAAGCACAUCUCGGAAAGGUGGAAGGACUAUCUCCCAGUUGAACAGCGGAUGCCUGGGACUCGUUUCCUUGCUUUCAAAGUUCCUUUAAAAAAGUUUUGAAAAGAAUCUUGCUCCAGAAGAAUGAUUUUCCCCCUUGGAUCGUUCUUAACAAACUCCAGGAACAAAAUGAAGAACUUGGGCUGAUUAUUGACUUAACAUAUACUCGCGGCUAUUAUAAGCCAGAGGACUUACCAGAAACUAUUCCUUAUUUAAAAAUUUGUACAAUUGGGCAUCAGGUGCCAGAUGACGACACUAGUGUUAAAUUCCAGUGGGAAUUUAAAUGGGUUUCUGAAAGAAAAUAAAGAUAAUGAUAUUUGAUUGAUGUAGAAGGCAUGUGGCCAGAUGAUGCAAUUGGAUACUGGUGUUUUAUCCUUGCAAGUUCUCCGUCAUUCCAUAAGAGAGCUGCUCUUCUUCUGGUUUCAUAAGAGAUGGGGAUGCAGGUUCGAUCCCUGGCUGAGGAACUGAGAUCCCCCAUGCCGCAGGCCAACUAAGCCCGCACGCCGCAACUACUGAGCCCACGUGCUGUGGAGCCCACGCGCCACAACUAGAGAGCCCACGAGCCGCGAGGAAGAGCCCCAGCGCUGCAACGAAGAGCCCACGUGCUGCAACUAAUACCCGAUACCACCAAAAGUAAAUCAUUUAAAUAAAAUCAUAUGAGUGAAUGAACAUAAUGCCUUAAGAGAAACAAACAGGAAAAGGAAAAAUUUUUUUGAAGAUAAAAAGGAUUUUAGAGAAAUGGAAAACAUAAAAGAUAGGCAAAAACGAGCCAGGACAGCUCUGAGAAAAGUAAUAUAAAUAUGUAUAAGAAUCUAUUAUACCAUAAAAGUGACAUUUCAAAUCAUUGGGACAGAUUAGUCAAUAAAUUGUGAUACAUACAUGUUGAGGUAUAAAUAGUUCUCUGGAAGGAUCUACAGCAUGGCAAAAGCAGAUGUCUCUGAGGAGGGAAAUGUGUGGCUGGGGCACGUGGGGAAAAGGGUGACUUUUCGUUGAAUGCCCUUGUGGACCUUUUCUAAUGUUCUGUCAUGUGAAUUUAUUACCUCUGAAGUUCGCCUGAGUUCAAACCCCAGUUCCCCCAGUUGCUAGCUCUUAAUCUUGGGCAAACUCUUCACACUCUCCAAGCCUCUUUAUCUGUGAAAUAAGAUCAGUAACUUAGCCUGGUGCUGCCUGGCACAGAAUAAACUGUCAAUAAAUGGAGAUUAUUAGUGUAAAAAACCCAAAUGCCCAUGAAUGGAUGAAUGGAUUUUUAAAAUGUGGUGUAUUUGUGAAUUAUUAUACAGUCAUAAAAAGGAAUGAAGUACUGACACAUGUUACGACAUGGACGAACUUGAAAACAUUACGCUAAGUGAAAGAAGC
This is a long non-coding RNA of Orcinus orca (killer whale), 1543 nucleotides long. RefSeq lists it as uncharacterized. The record is from RefSeq and is a predicted model, not a curated record. The transcript has 7 exons. Lineage: Eukaryota; Metazoa; Chordata; Mammalia; Artiodactyla; Delphinidae.